This 466-nucleotide ribosomal RNA is filed under the name uncultured bacterium. Its description in RNAcentral is "partial 16S ribosomal RNA". It matches the Rfam family "Bacterial small subunit ribosomal RNA", at positions 28 to 507 of the family's 1533-position model. The record is from RNAcentral.
GAUGAACGCUGGCGGCGUGCUUAACACAUGCAAGUCGAACGAUGAAGCCCAGCUUGCUGGGUGGAUUAGUGGCGAACGGGUGAGUAACACGUGAGUAACCUGCCCUUAACUCUGGGAUAAGCCUGGGAAACUGGGUCUAAUACCGGAUAGGAGCGUCCACCGCAUGGUGGGUGUUGGAAAGAUUUAUCGGUUUUGGAUGGACUCGCGGCCUAUCAGCUUGUUGGUGAGGUAAUGGCUCACCAAGGCGACGACGGGUAGCCGGCCUGAGAGGGUGACCGGCCACACUGGGACUGAGACACGGCCCAGACUCCUACGGGAGGCAGCAGUGGGGAAUAUUGCACAAUGGACGAAAGCCUGAUGCAGCGACGCCGCGUGAGGGAUGACGGCCUUCGGGUUGUAAACCUCUUUCAGUAGGGAAGAAGCGAAAGUGACGGUACCUGCAGAAGAAGCACCGGCUAACUACGUG